Molecule: ribosomal RNA, 429 nt
Filed under: Gemmatimonadota bacterium
Lineage: Bacteria; Pseudomonadati; Gemmatimonadota
Description: Gemmatimonadetes bacterium partial 16S ribosomal RNA
Rfam family: Bacterial small subunit ribosomal RNA
Source: RNAcentral
UAGGGAAUCUUCGGCAAUGGACGAAAGUCUGACCGAGCAACGCCGCGUGAGUGAAGAAGGUCUUCGGAUCGUAAAACUCUGUUGUUAGAGAAGAACAAGGACGUUAGUAACUGAACGUCCCCUGACGGUAUCUAACCAGAAAGCCACGGCUAACUACGUGCUAGCAGCCGCGGUAAUACGUAGGUGGCAAGCGUUGUCCGGAUUUAUUGGGCGUAAAGCGAGCGCAGGCGGUUUCUUAAGUCUGAUGUGAAAGCCCCCGGCUCAACCGGGGAAAGUCAUUGGAAACUGGGAGACUUGAGUGCAGAAGAGGAGAGUGGAAUUCCAUGUGUAGCGGUGAAGUGCGUAGAUAUAUGGAGGAACACCAGUAGCGAAGGCGGCUCUCUGGUCUGUAACUGACGCUGAGGCUCGAAAGCGUGGGGAGCAAACAGG